UACGAUGGGGGCAAGCGUUGUUCGGAAUUAUUGGGCGUAAAGGGUGCGUAGGCGGUUUGGUAAGUCUUAUGUGAAAUCUACAGGCUCAACUUGUAGUCUGCAUGAGAAACUGCCGGGCUUGAGUAUGGGAGAGGUGAGUGGAAUUCCUGGUGUAGCGGUGAAAUGCGUAGAUAUCAGGAGGAACACCUGUGGCGAAAGCGGCUCACUGGACCAUAACUGACGCUGAUGCACGAAAGCUAGGGGAGCAAACAGG
RNAcentral lists this ribosomal RNA (253 nucleotides) under uncultured bacterium. RNAcentral's name for it is "partial 16S ribosomal RNA". It matches the Rfam family "Bacterial small subunit ribosomal RNA", at positions 524 to 776 of the family's 1533-position model. The record is from RNAcentral.